UCCCAGGUGGCUCGGUAGUAAAGAAUCUGCCUGUAAUGCAGGAGACACAGGUUUGAAACCUGGAUUGGGAA
This 71-nucleotide transfer RNA is filed under the name Bos taurus (domestic cattle). It matches the Rfam family "tRNA". Rfam says of the family: Transfer RNA (tRNA) molecules are approximately 80 nucleotides in length. Their secondary structure includes four short double-helical elements and three loops (D, anti-codon, and T loops). RNAcentral also lists the same sequence under 5 other names. Lineage: Eukaryota; Metazoa; Chordata; Mammalia; Artiodactyla; Bovidae. The record is from Rfam by way of RNAcentral.